RNAcentral lists this ribosomal RNA (253 nucleotides) under uncultured bacterium. Its description in RNAcentral is "partial 16S ribosomal RNA". It matches the Rfam family "Bacterial small subunit ribosomal RNA", at positions 524 to 776 of the family's 1533-position model. The record is from RNAcentral.
UACGUAGGGGGCAAGCGUUAUCCGGAUUUACCGGGUGUAAAGGGGGCGCAGACGGCGAUGCAAGCCAGGAGUGAAAGCCCGGGGCCCAACCCCGGGACUGCUCUUGGAACUGCGUGGCUGGAGUGCAGGAGGGGCAGGCGGAAUUCCUGGUGUAGCGGUGAAAUGCGUAGAUAUCAGGAGGAACACCGGUGGCGAAAGCGGCUCUCUGGCCUGUAACUGACACUGAGGCUCGAAAGCGUGGGGAGCAAACAGG